This 340-nucleotide ribosomal RNA is filed under the name uncultured bacterium. RNAcentral describes it as "partial 16S ribosomal RNA". The record is from RNAcentral.
UGCUUAUUGUGUUAACUGCGGCACAGAAGGGGUCGAUACCUCUACACCUAGCACUCAUCGUUUACAGCGUGGACUACCAGGGUAUCUAAUCCUGUUUGCUCCCCACGCUUUCGCGCCUCAGCGUCAGUUACAGUCCAGAAAGUCGCCUUCGCCACUGGUGUUCCUCCUAAUAUCUACGCAUUUCACCGCUACACUAGGAAUUCCACUUUCCUCUCCUGUCCUCAAGAUAUCCAGUUUCCGAUGCACUCUCAGGGUUGAGCCCUGAUCUUUCACACCGGACUUAAAUAUCCGCCUACGCGCCCUUUACGCCCAAUAAUUCCGGACAACGCUUGCCCCCUAC